GCAGGGGCCAGAGUGCAGGAGGUUUGAUCAGAGCCCCAGCAUCUCAGAGUUGGAGGGAGCUUAGUGGGCACGUGAUCCACCCCACCCAAGCACGCAUCCGUGAGCCCCAGCCAGGCAUGAGGCCUGUCUCAGUUUCCUCCUGUGCACGGUGGGGGCUGUGGAGGUCAUCUGCCUCCUCCCAGAGCUAGACAUCCUGCCUGGAGGACCCAGAGAUGGCUUCUUGUCAAGAAGCCAUUCAGGUUCACACGGGUGAUGCAGCGUCACUCAGCCUCUGGAUGGAGAGCAGCAGCGAGGAGCUGUGCUCACAGACCCUGAGACACAGCGCCCGUGUGUGCCCGAGGCUGCCAAGGCGUGGUGGAGGCUGGGGAGGAGGAGGUGCUGCUGGAGGCCAAGCUGAUGCCAGAGAUCAUCGGGGACCAUGCGGAGGGGGCUCCAGCACAAAGCUCAUGUUGAUCUCCUCCAUUUUGGAGCUGGAGCAGCUGGCCGAGAGCAUGCUGAGCAGGUGGGCCAUGUCUCCGUUGCUCAGCACAUCCACUUUACCAGGAGAAAACCAGCAGCGUUUGUGACUAAUGACAAAAGGGGAGAGAUGAGAGACGGCACCCCAGCCUGACAGGCAACGCAGGGCUGGAGGGAGGACAGGGGGCGAUGCGGGCAGCGCUGACCCUCUUGGCCCUGGGAUCUCCGUCCCCAGAGCCUUCCAGGUGCCCAUCAGCCCCUCCAGUGGUACCUGCGGAGCUCCUGCUGCAGGUGCAGAGCGCUCGUGCCUCAGGGACCAGCCGUUGUGUUGGGAGGAGCACCUUCUUCAUCUCAGCAACCACGUGAGACCAGAGCUAGAAGGUCCUUCUCCAAUCCUCCCAGUGGUUCUCACCUGGGUGCCCUGGGCAUGGGGUGGAGGGUGGGGACAAUGCUUCAGUCUGUGGCAUGUCCCGCCCCCCCUUACAUGACAGUGGUCUCCCCAACACCCCAGGCACUGGGUCAGCCCAAAGUGCCUCCAUGCAUUUCCCAAAGCCCUGGAGAGACAGUGCCGGCCAGGACGGGGGUGAAAACCUGGCCAGGUUCAGCAGGUAGAAGCUUCCAGGAACACUUUUCCUGACCCUGAGUCCAUGCCAACUGUACCUAUGAGUUGGGGGGCAUUGGUGACACUUCCUGCACCUCCAGUUCCCAGACAGACGUGGGGACAGUGCUCCUUCCAGGGCGGGGCUUCCGUGAAGUUAAGUGAGAUGGAUGCAGGUGGAGCAGGCGGCCCAGCACCUGCUGUCACGGUGAGUGGAAUCAGCACGGAAAGUCAAACACGGAGACACGGGGGGCCCUGCACCUCGGACUCUCCCGAGGACAUGACUGAUACAAUCCAGGCCUUCCCGCUUCUCUCAAAUAUGAGUGCCUGCCACGUCCUCCCCACAGCCCUGGGAGCUCGAUUCUUCCCACGUGGACCAGGGAGUUCUGGGUUCAGGGCCGAGCUGUUUCUGGAGCUUUCACAAGUGGGUGGGGGGAGGGAGGUCGCUGCUGCCUCCUGCUCCGGGCUUGGUCCAGGACCCCAGAGGCAGCCCUGAGCCGGACCGCCCGUGCUUCUGUGGCUGUGCGCCUUCACGCGUGGAGCCACGGAAUGGAGAAGGGGUCUCCGAGCCUUCAGCAGGCUUCUUCAACACAGCUUUCAGCUAGAAACCGCCCGGCACCACAGUUAGUGGACAUUUUUGUGGAUGUCACUCUUGAUUUUAAGACAAGCCACAAACUGGGACAAAAUAUUUUUAAAACACAUAUCUGGUAAAGAACUGGUAUUCGAAUAUACAAAGAACUCGAAACUCAACAAGAAAACAAACCACCCAAUUAAAAAAAUGGGCCAAAGAUCUGGACAGACACCUCACCGGAGAAGAUACACAGACAGCAAAUAAGUACAUGGAAAGAAACUGCCCAUCAUAUGCCACCAGGGCUUUGCAAAUUGAAACAACAAUGAGGUACCACUACACACCUAUUAGAACGGCUAAAAGCCCGAAUGCUGACACCAUGAAAUGCUGGCAAGGACGUGGAGCAUCAGGAAAGUCACGGCUGGUGGGAAUGCAAAACGGCGCAGCCACUUCGGGAGGCAGUUUGGUGGUUUCUUAUGAAAUUAAACAUAUCUUAACAUAAGAUCCAACUAUUGAGUUCCUUGGUAUUUUCCCAAGAGUUGAAAAUUUAUGUCCACACAGAAACCCACACAAGAAUGAUCAUAGUAGCUUUAUUUCAAACAGCCCCAAACUGCAAAGAACCCAAACGUCCUUCAAUAGGUGAAUGGUUAAAUGCACUGUGGUCCCUCCAGACCAUGGAAUACUACUCAGCAACAAAAAAGGACGAACUCUCCCUACACACAAAUCUCAGAAGGUCAC
Molecule: long non-coding RNA, 2360 nt
Filed under: Equus asinus (donkey)
Lineage: Eukaryota; Metazoa; Chordata; Mammalia; Perissodactyla; Equidae
Description: lncRNA (ENSEASG00005038705.1)
Source: RNAcentral